This 525-nucleotide ribosomal RNA is filed under the name uncultured Glomus. RNAcentral describes it as "SSU rRNA". It matches the Rfam family "Eukaryotic small subunit ribosomal RNA", at positions 569 to 1093 of the family's 1831-position model. Lineage: Eukaryota; Fungi; Glomeromycota; Glomeromycetes; Glomerales; Glomeraceae. The record is from RNAcentral.
AGCAGCCGCGGUAAUUCCAGCUCCAAUAGCGUAUAUUAAAGUUGUUGCAGUUAAAAAGCUCGUAGUUGAAUUUCGAGACCGGUUUAUUGGUCGUGCUUUUGUACGUACUGGUAUUAUUGGUUUCUCCUUUCUGACGAAUCUUAAUGCCAUUAAUUUGGUGUUUUGGGGAAUCAGGACUGUUACUUUGAAAAAAUUAGAGUGUUUAAAGCAGGCUCACGCUUGAAUACAUUAGCAUGGAAUAACGGAAUAGGACGUUUGAUUCUAUUUUGUUGGUUUCUAGGAUCGACGUAAUGAUUAAUAGGGAUAGUUGGGGGCAUUAGUAUUCAAUUGUCAGAGGUGAAAUUCUUGGAUUUAUUGAAGACUAACUACUGCGAAAGCAUUUUGCCAAAGGAUGUUUUCAUUAAUCAAGAACGAAAGUUAGGGGAUCGAAGACGAUCAGAUACCGUCGUAGUCUUAACCAUAAACUAUGCCGACUAGGGAUCGGAUGAUGUUAAUUUUUUAAUGUACUCAUUCGGCGCCUUACGG